This 253-nucleotide ribosomal RNA is filed under the name uncultured bacterium. Its description in RNAcentral is "partial 16S ribosomal RNA". It matches the Rfam family "Bacterial small subunit ribosomal RNA", at positions 524 to 776 of the family's 1533-position model. The record is from RNAcentral.
UACAGAGAGUGCGAGCGUUAAUCGGAAUUACUGGGCGUAAAGCGCGCGUAGGCGGCUUUGCAAGUCGGGUGUGAAAUCCCCAGGCUUAACCUGGGAACUGCAUUCGAGACUGCAUUGCUAGAGUAUGGGAGAGGGAAGUGGAAUUUCCGGUGUAGCGGUGAAAUGCGUUGAUAUCAUCUGGAACACCGGUGGCGAAAGCGGCAUACUGGACCUUAUCUGACGCUGAGGAACGAAAGCUAGGGUAGCGAACGGG